UACGGAGGGUGCAAGCAUUAAUCGGAUUUAUUGGGCGUAAAGGGCGCGUAGGCGGAAUUAUAAGUCAGAUGUGAAAUUCUGGUGCUCAAUACCAGGACUGCAUUUGAAACUAUAAAUCUAGAGGGUAGGCGGAGAAAACGGAAUUCCACGUGUAGCGGUGAAAUGCGUAGAUAUGUGGAAGAACACCUGUGGCGAAAGCGGUUUUCUAGCUUAUUACAGACGCUGAGGCGCGAGAGCAAGGGGAGCAAACAGG
Molecule: ribosomal RNA, 253 nt
Filed under: uncultured bacterium
Lineage: Bacteria
Description: partial 16S ribosomal RNA
Rfam family: Bacterial small subunit ribosomal RNA
Source: RNAcentral